Molecule: ribosomal RNA, 325 nt
Filed under: uncultured eukaryote
Lineage: Eukaryota
Description: partial 18S ribosomal RNA
Rfam family: Eukaryotic small subunit ribosomal RNA
Source: RNAcentral
CCCUUAGAUGUUCUGGGCUGCACGCGCGCUACACUGAAGCGUUCAACGAGUAUUCACCUUGCCCGGGAGGGUUGGGUAAUCUUUUGAAAAUGCUUCGUGAUGGGGAUAGAUUAUUGCAAUUAUUAAUCUUCAACGAGGAAUUCCUAGUAAGCGCGAGUCAUCAGCUCGUGCUGAUUACGUCCCUGCCCUUUGUACACACCGCCCGUCGCUCCUACCAAUUGAGUGAUCCGGUGAAUAAUUCGGACUGCAGCACUGCUUGGUCUCCAGGCUUUGCAGCGGAAAGUUUAGUGAACCUUAUCACUUAGAGGAAGGAGAAGUCGUAACA